RNAcentral lists this ribosomal RNA (1372 nucleotides) under uncultured bacterium. RNAcentral's name for it is "bacterial SSU rRNA". It matches the Rfam family "Bacterial small subunit ribosomal RNA", at positions 28 to 1381 of the family's 1533-position model. The record is from RNAcentral.
GAUGAACGCUGGCGGCGUGCCUAAUACAUGCAAGUCGAGCGAACGGACGAGAAGCUUGCUUCUCUGAUGUUAGCGGCGGACGGGUGAGUAACACGUGGAUAACCUACCUAUAAGACUGGGAUAACUUCGGGAAACCGGAGCUAAUACCGGAUAAUAUUUUGAACCGCAUGGUUCAAAAGUGAAAGACGGUCUUGCUGUCACUUAUAGAUGGAUCCGCGCUGCAUUAGCUAGUUGGUAAGGUAACGGCUUACCAAGGCAACGAUGCAUAGCCGACCUGAGAGGGUGAUCGGCCACACUGGAACUGAGACACGGUCCAGACUCCUACGGGAGGCAGCAGUAGGGAAUCUUCCGCAAUGGGCGAAAGCCUGACGGAGCAACGCCGCGUGAGUGAUGAAGGUCUUCGGAUCGUAAAACUCUGUUAUUAGGGAAGAACAUAUGUGUAAGUAACUGUGCACAUCUUGACGGUACCUAAUCAGAAAGCCACGGCCAACUACGUGCCAGCAGCCGCGGUAAUACGUAGGUGGCAAGCGUUAUCCGGAAUUAUUGGGCGUAAAGCGCGCGUAGGCGGUUUUUUAAGUCUGAUGUGAAAGCCCACGGCUCAACCGUGGAGGGUCAUUGGAAACUGGAAAACUUGAGUGCAGAAGAGGAAAGUGGAAUUCCAUGUGUAGCGGUGAAAUGCGCAGAGAUAUGGAGGAACACCAGUUGCGAAGGCGACUUUCUGGUCUGUAACUGACGCUGAUGUGCGAAAGCGUGGGGAUCAAACAGGAUUAGAUACCCUGGUAGUCCACGCCGUAAACGAUGAGUGCUAAGUGUUAGGGGGUUUCCGCCCCUUAGUGCUGCAGCUAACGCAUUAAGCACUCCGCCUGGGGAGUACGACCGCAAGGUUGAAACUCAAAGGAAUUGACGGGGACCCGCACAAGCGGUGGAGCAUGUGGUUUAAUUCGAAGCAACGCGAAGAACCUUACCAAAUCUUGACAUCCUUUGACAACUCUAGAGAUAGAGCUUUCCCCUUCGGGGGACAAAGUGACAGGUGGUGCAUGGUUGUCGUCAGCUCGUGUCGUGAGAUGUUGGGUUAAGUCCCGCAACGAGCGCAACCCUUAAGCUUAGUUGCCAUCAUUAAGUUGGGCACUCUAAGUUGACUGCCGGUGACAAACCGGAGGAAGGUGGGGACGACGUCAAAUCAUCAUGCCCCUUAUGAUUUGGGCUACACACGUGCUACAAUGGACAAUACAAAGGGCAGCGAAACCGCGAGGCCAAGCAAAUCCCAUAAAGUUGUUCUCAGUUCGGAUUGUAGUCUGCAACUCGACUACAUGAAGCUGGAAUCGCUAGUAAUCGUAGAUCAGCAUGCUACGGUGAAUACGUUCCCGGGUCU